This 251-nucleotide ribosomal RNA is filed under the name uncultured bacterium. RNAcentral's name for it is "partial 16S ribosomal RNA". It matches the Rfam family "Bacterial small subunit ribosomal RNA", at positions 524 to 776 of the family's 1533-position model. The record is from RNAcentral.
UACGUAGGUGGCAAGCGUUGUCCGGAAUUAUUGGGCGUAAAGCGCGCGCAGGCGGUUCCUUAAGUCUGAUGUGAAAGCCCCCGGCUCAACCGGGGAGGGUCAUUGGAAACUGGGGAACUUGAGUGCAGGAGAGGAAAGCGGAAUUCCACGUGUAGCGGUGAAAUGCGUAGAUAUGUGGAGGAACACCAGUGGCGAAGGCGCUUUCUGGUCUGUAACUGACGCGAGGCGCGAAAGCGUGGGGAGCAAACAGG